RNAcentral lists this long non-coding RNA (1085 nucleotides) under Equus asinus (donkey). RNAcentral's name for it is "lncRNA (ENSEASG00005031380.1)". Lineage: Eukaryota; Metazoa; Chordata; Mammalia; Perissodactyla; Equidae. The record is from RNAcentral.
GCUUAACAAGAUAGCCCCCCAUCCUCUCCACAAGGACCUCUCUGCAAUCUCAUGCAGCGUGUUUGACGUUCCGAAACAAUCACAAAGUUUUCUCAUCUCUAAUGACUCUCCAGGACUGUGAGAACUCAGGAAAAUAAACAGGAACUGUUAAAGAUGUACCUGGAGCUUCUCAGGGGCUGCUUCACUGGCUCCGUCCAGCUCUCAAGUGCGCUGGAAUUCUUCCUUUUAAGGACAGUGACAUCCGAUCUGUGAAGGCCAUGGUGCCCUGCACAGGGAAGCCACAGCAGGGAGGACGAGGUCAAUAUUGCCCUCAUCAGGAGCAGCUCUGCAAUGGAAGGUUUCAAUUACCAUCCAAUGGAUUAAAGAGCAGGGAUGCAGUCAGGCUGGAGAGAGAACUUCUAUUUUCACAAACAAAUGAACAAAACAGCAAAAAUAAUAGAGAAAUCAUUAUUCUCCAUCUAAACUGGAAGCCCGAACAAACCCUCGCUGGCUUAACAUGCAGAUUCUGGCUUGACCCCCACAUGCUUCCUUGAUGUCCUUUCCACACAGCCAGGAGACGCUUUCUGUUUCAGUGUGUGACAGCUGUAGGGACUUUUCCAGUUGUCCCAUGACUCUUGGGGACCCUUGCCCUCUCAUUUGGCUUUUAGUUGGGCAGGCUGUGGUCUGUUCGAUUUAGCUACGGGAAGCCGCCCCACUGGACUUCAUUUGGUGGGAGAACUCCUGGACCUAGGAAAGGGAGCUGCUGUAGUUGCCUCUGAAUGGACUCUGGACUUUGGAACUUCCUGGAUGACACAGUUGCUUACCUUCUUGUUAUCAAUCUGAAAACCUAGUGAAGCGAUACAUUUCUAGUCCGCUGACUGUCUCAUGACCAUCUUGUAGGUGUUAGGCAAAUCUCAGUCCAGAAGGACUGUAAAAGUUGUUGACUGGACUCUGUCUCAGGAAAAGUUUAGCACGUCCUGGCAACCUUUAUGCUUACACCACCUACUCUGAGAGGUCAAGGGUGUUGUGUAGAAUAAUAACAUUCUCAAAACUGACUCAUGAAGCAGGCUGUGAGUAGUCGACUCAUCCCUGGUCUAACAGAGAGG